CAUUAGAUGGCUGAAAGCAAGCUUUGGUCUCUUAAACCACCUAAUAAUAGAUUAGCACCUAUUUCUAAUG
Molecule: transfer RNA, 70 nt
Filed under: Coleoptera sp. 3 AH-2016
Lineage: Eukaryota; Metazoa; Arthropoda; Insecta; Coleoptera
Description: tRNA-Lys
Source: RNAcentral